CCUACGGGGUGCAGCAGUGGGGAAUAUUGGACAAUGGGCGAAAGCCUGAUCCAGCCAUGCCGCGUGUGUGAAGAAGGCCUUCGGGUUGUAAAGCACUUUCAGUGGGGAAGAAAGCCUUGGGGCUAAUACCCUCGAGGAAGGACAUCACCCACAGAAGAAGCACCGGCUAACUCCGUGCCAGCAGCCGCGGUAAUACGGAGGGUGCGAGCGUUAAUCGGAAUUACUGGGCGUAAAGCGCGCGUAGGCGGUCUGAUAAGCCGGUUGUGAAAGCCCCGGGCUCAACCUGGGAACGGCAUCCGGAACUGUCAGGCUAGAGUGCAGGAGAGGAAGGUAGAAUUCCCGGUGUAGCGGUGAAAUGCGUAGAGAUCGGGAGGAAUACCAGUGGCGAAGGCGGCCUUCUGGACUGACACUGACGCUGUGGUGCGAAAGCGUGGGUAGCAAACAGGAUUAGAUACCCUAGUAGUC
RNAcentral lists this ribosomal RNA (465 nucleotides) under Vreelandella stevensii. Its description in RNAcentral is "partial 16S ribosomal RNA". It matches the Rfam family "Bacterial small subunit ribosomal RNA", at positions 338 to 795 of the family's 1533-position model. The record is from RNAcentral. Lineage: Bacteria; Pseudomonadati; Pseudomonadota; Gammaproteobacteria; Oceanospirillales; Halomonadaceae.